ACCUUGCUGACGAGUACCAAAUAGCACGAAACCCUGGUCCGGGAU
RNAcentral lists this non-coding RNA (45 nucleotides) under Schistosoma mattheei. The record is from RNAcentral. Lineage: Eukaryota; Metazoa; Platyhelminthes; Trematoda; Strigeidida; Schistosomatidae.